This 1448-nucleotide long non-coding RNA is filed under the name Medicago truncatula (barrel medic). RNAcentral describes it as "lncRNA gene31069". The record is from RNAcentral. Lineage: Eukaryota; Viridiplantae; Streptophyta; Magnoliopsida; Fabales; Fabaceae.
CUCAAACACGUUUACUUUAUCUAAAUGACUGAAUGUUUAGAUAAAAAUUCAUCCCCAAUUAUUGAUUGAAUCAUCAUUUGUCUUCCCAGUAUCCUUUCAAACUAUAUAUACAGUGUUUGAAUCCAAUAGCUUGUUUACGUCUGCUACCGGUAGGAAGGUGUUGAGUUUUGAAUAAUAUUAUGUCGAUUUGUACGAAGGUUGGCACAGAAGAAACACAAGAAUCCUAUUUGGAAUCAAGUUUCAGUUGUUGCAGUUGUUUGGCCGGGAUUCAGAUCGUGUAUUCGAUUGACAUUACAAAAGAAUUUUAUUACAAACAAUUGUAUAAAAUUAUACAAUUCCAAUGUUACCUCCGGUGUAUCCCACGAUUCUAUCACUAGUAUACAAAAUCAAGGUCGAGGCUCAUCCUGAGCCACAAAUCCUUUACUUCUCUCAUUGAAAGACCAUACCAAAAAGCAUGAUGGCCGAAAUAUUUUAUGCCUUCGGUAAAUAAAUUAUAACAAUUUACAUUUAUUUGACGUGCCUACAUUCAAGCUUGGUCAUCCCAUUUCCAUCUUCGCCCUACUUCAGCAAGAACAGCAGCACGAGCUUGGCUUCUUCUUGCCUCGUCCUCCACCCAAGUUCUGCCAGACUCAAAAUACAUUUACAAGAUGUUAACUCUAUAAGUCAAAGAUACGGUACUAAUCUGGAGCACGGUUUCUAUAAAAGCAAACAAUUCAUAUUCAGUUGUGGACUAAGGAAAGCAAAAGAAAUCUUUUAUAGAAGUAAAUGAAAAUUUGCGCACAGUGGUUUUGUUUAAAUCUGGCUUUUGAAAAAAUCUAUUGGCAUAGAUUCACACAAAUAACUUAAGAGACGAUGCUUUGUUAUUUGCUAUAGUAAUAAGAAAAUCAUGUACCCCAGAGAUAAGAUAUGAUCAUGAAUGGAAAUAGGUGCAGAGUAUGCAUGUUUAAUUAUUUAAGUAUAAGAAAUUGCACUAAUCUGGACAUGAUUGCCCAAGAGCAAAGAAUUUCAGAUGCAGGAGGAGGAGAACCAAAGAGAACUUAAAGAGAAAUUAUCAAAAGGUAACAUAUGAUAAAUAGUUUUGUCAAAAGAUUAGCUUUUAGAGUAUAGACCAAUAGCAUCAAUUGACCCACAUAGCUCAGUGACACCAUGUUCUUUCUUUAUCUGUUUUUUAGGAAACAGUGAGGCAAUGCUUUGUUGUAGUAAAAAAGAAGAAUCAUGCGUCACUACAACUUCUCUAGCAAACAAGUUUCUACACAUGGAAUCUCAUAUAUAAGACAUAAUCAUGCAAGAUUCUACAAGUUUAUACUACAAAUUAUUUGUGCCACAAUUAUUUAGCUACCAUAGGAAUGUAAACUUUGGACACCAAACCAAAAUACCAACUCCAAACCUUCCCACUGUUGUGGCUUUGCAAUCCUCACGAUUUUGAAAUAGGAAUUGGUAAAACAUAA